This 459-nucleotide ribosomal RNA is filed under the name uncultured bacterium. RNAcentral's name for it is "partial 16S ribosomal RNA". It matches the Rfam family "Bacterial small subunit ribosomal RNA", at positions 339 to 795 of the family's 1533-position model. The record is from RNAcentral.
CUACGGGACGCAGCAGUGAGGAAUAUUGGUCAAUGGGCGCGAGCCUGAACCAGCCAUCCCGCGUGCAGGAUGACGGCCCUAUGGGUUGUAAACUGCUUUUCUAUGCCAAGAAACCCUGUUACGAGUAACAGGUUGCCGGUAGCAUAGGAAUAAGCAUCGGCUAACUCCGUGCCAGCAGCCGCGGUAAUACGGAGGAUGCAAGCGUUAUCCGGAUUCAUUGGGUUUAAAGGGUGCGCAGGUGGGCUUGUAAGUCAGUGGUGAAAUGCUGCCGCUUAACGGUAGAACUGCCAUUGAUACUGCGAGUCUCGAGUAUGGUUGAGGUAGGCGGAAUGGGGUGUGUAGCGGGGAAAUGCAUAGAUAUGACACAGAACGCCAAUUGCGAAGGCAGCUUACUAAGCCAUUACUGACGCUGAGGCACGAAAGCGUGGGGAGCGAACAGGAUUAGAUACCCCUGUAGUC